UUGGGUGCAAUCACUAUAGCAACCAGGCUCACACCUGCCUGCUUAACGAGUUCUGUCUCUCACUCUGCCAUGGUUAAACCUAAAAAUGUCUGUUGCAUCUAAGCAGUUGUAGUAAGAUUAACUUUUUCAAUAGGUACAAUAAGACAGAUUUGACAGGGUUUUGCCACAGAUUAAUAUCCCAACUAAGUAGACCAUUGUGAUUGGCCUGUUAAAUUCAACCUUAUAGUUUAGUGGUGGACUUGUCUUCUACACAGUGGUUUUUCAGAUCUGGGCAGUUGGAGUCAGUUGAUGACUUUAAAAUAAUCUUUUCUGACUGGAUAAUUAAAGCUCACAGCAUUUACCUGUCUGUAGUUGAUUUUCCCACAUUUUAACUUUUAACUAAUCUAAUCUCAUUUAAUGUCUCUGUUUAUAGUCUGUAUAGUUUAUCCCCCCACUAACACACUUAAAGUAGUCUUAAAAUAAAACCCACAAAACAGUUCAAGAUGAUAUACUUUUUAUUUGCUCAUUUAAUGCCAUUUGCCCUCUUUCUCUGUUUGUCACUCAUUUGCUUAUACUCACUCAAAGUACCAAUUUGUACUGAUGAGUCUAGUGUAUUUUUUUCCCUCUUUCUCUCUGUCUCACACACACAGACCAACACACAGACAUGUAUAUGCUCAUUAUUGCUCUUCAAACUGAUGGUCAAAUUUCCAAGCACCACCUGAACGCCUCAUUUGUUUUUAACCCAUCACGGGACCAACUGUCGUCAUUCCGCUUUGCUCUCUGCUGUGGAACCUGACUGACAUCUGUGCUUUGACUGUGUGCAGAAGAAGAACAAGGACGAGAUCUCCAGUCUUCUGUCUCACAUCCCAACCCCCCAUCCC
Molecule: long non-coding RNA, 860 nt
Organism: Oreochromis niloticus (Nile tilapia)
Lineage: Eukaryota; Metazoa; Chordata; Actinopteri; Cichliformes; Cichlidae
Exons: 3
Source: RefSeq, a predicted model, not a curated record